CAUUAUAUUAGAAGUUUAAUCAUGUUCAUCACGCGACAUCUUAAGCCACACAUCAGUAAAAAAACAAAAUAUGUCAUCAAGCAUUCAGACAUACACUUUAUUAGUUCAUCAUGCCAUUUACUCUAGUUCAAUCCUUGUACAUGUUGAUUUGAUUUAUUUUUGGUGAAUACACAAAAUUGCAGUCAGACCAUUUACUCUAGUUCAACCCUCUGUACCAAGUUGACUUGAUUUAUUUUUGAUGAAUCCACAAAAUUGCAGUCAGGUGCUAGCUGUUUAUUUGCUCGAAUACACAGGAGCAACAUGGUAUUUUUGUGUGCCCCUCCAUGCUGGCAAUCUUACAUGACACUGCACAUUGUUAAAAGUGACAAAUAAUUAGAGAAGUUUCUCUCAACGGUGGUAAAUAAAUUUAUAUAUGCAUGGGUGAGCAUUACUAUGGUCCAACAAGUGGUACCGGAUGGGACCAGUACCGGUAGGUACCCAGUAAAAUCUGACCCGAUUAGAAAGGGCAGGAUGGGCCGCGAGCGCUUGUUGCUUGCGCCGCCGCCGGCUGUCGCGGCGACGUCUUGGAUGGUAUUCAGUUGAACCAGGCGAGGCGGCGAACAAGCGAGCGAGGAAGCAGCAGGAUGCCAGUAUCGCUGCUCGCGGGAUGGAUGAAGAUCAGCACAGGCAGUGAACAAGCGAGCGAGGAUGCAACCAGAGGAAGCAGCAGGAUGCAGCAAGAACUAGCGAGCGAAGAUGCAGGGGACUGACGGGGAGAUCGGCUU
Molecule: long non-coding RNA, 764 nt
Filed under: Oryza brachyantha (malo sina)
Lineage: Eukaryota; Viridiplantae; Streptophyta; Magnoliopsida; Poales; Poaceae
Description: long non-coding RNA (OBRA_LNC000167)
Source: RNAcentral